UACAGCGGUCUCAAGCGUUGUUCGGAUUCAUUGGGCGUAAAGGGUGCGUAGGCGGCGCGGUAAGUCGGGUGUGAAAUCUCGGAGCUUAACUCCGAAACUGCAUUCGAUACUGCCGUGCUUGAGGACUGGAGAGGAGACUGGAAUUUACGGUGUAGCGGUGAAAUGCGUAGAUAUCGUAAGGAAGACCAGUGGCGAAGGCGGGUCUCUGGACAGUUCCUGACGCUGAGGCACGAAGGUCAGGGGAGCAAACAGG
This 253-nucleotide ribosomal RNA is filed under the name uncultured bacterium. Its description in RNAcentral is "partial 16S ribosomal RNA". It matches the Rfam family "Bacterial small subunit ribosomal RNA", at positions 524 to 776 of the family's 1533-position model. The record is from RNAcentral.